UGGGGAAUAUUGCACAAUGGGCGCAAGCCUGAUGCAGCAACGCCGCGUGAGGGACGACGGCCUUCGGGUUGUAAACCUCUUUUAGCAGGGAAGAAGCGAAAGUGACGGUACCUGCAGAAAAAGCGCCAGCUAACUACGUGCCAGCAGCCGCGGUAAUACGUAGGGCGCAAGCGUUAUCCGGAAUUAUUGGGCGUAAAGAGCUCGUAGGCGGUUUGUCGCGUCUGCUGUGAAAUCCGGAGGCUCAACCUCCGGCCUGCAGUGGGUACGGGCAGACUAGAGUGCGGUAGGGGAGAUUGGAAUUCCUGGUGUAGCGGUGGAAUGCGCAGAUAUCAGGAGGAACACCGAUGGCGAAGGCAGAUCUCUGGGCCGUAACUGACGCUGAGGAGCGAAAGGGUGGGGAGCAAACA
RNAcentral lists this ribosomal RNA (407 nucleotides) under uncultured bacterium. Its description in RNAcentral is "partial 16S ribosomal RNA". It matches the Rfam family "Bacterial small subunit ribosomal RNA", at positions 355 to 774 of the family's 1533-position model. The record is from RNAcentral.